Neofelis nebulosa (Clouded leopard) is the source of this 1913-nucleotide long non-coding RNA. RefSeq lists it as uncharacterized. The record is from RefSeq and is a predicted model, not a curated record. The transcript has 2 exons. Lineage: Eukaryota; Metazoa; Chordata; Mammalia; Carnivora; Felidae.
GCCUCCGUCUUGCCUCAGACCUUGCUCUUUCAUUAACAGGUAUUAUUAUGUCGACUUUUCUGGGCACCAGGUGCUUUUCCGAGCACUUGACAAACACAAACUCCUCAGUCCCGGUAACGAACUGCCAGGGGGGUGCCGGAACCGCCCCACUUUGUGGAUGGGAUCAGAGAGAAACUCCCUCCAGUUGAUAUCCCUGGGGCUUAGAAGCCAGAGACGGGCGUUUUCAAUGGCAGAAAUUGCUGUCAUGACAUGAAAAGGAGAAGUGCAGAAAUACCUCAGGGAGAAGCCAGGCUUCCCGUCGCCGUGGGAUUAUUCUGACAGUGAGGGAGGUGUGACUGAGAAAAGCUGAGCGCCCCUUUGAAGAGCCAGAAUUAAUCACGGCGACUGAAAGGAACGGCUCAGGUGAGUGCACUUAGCGCUCGGUGUGGCGUGGGAGUGGGCGCCGGGCGUGGACAGGGCUGCCCACGUCCACACGCCCGUUCAGCGGGUUUCGAGGGGCCCUAAGUGCACACGUGGGGCCUCGCUGGGCCAGGAACACUGAGCUGACACAUCACACGUUUAACUGAAAACAAGCAAACACAGAAAAUCCAACAAGUGUACCUCAAUAUGCAUACUUCCUCGGGAACGAAUACACUUUGGAGAGGAGUGUGUACUCAACGCUAUGUGGCCUAAAAACGCCCAGCUGGAAACUGGGAAACUGUCUCCUACCCUCAAUCUAAAUCAGCGUCUUGGGCGUGGGAGAGGGUGGCCCGUGGCGGCCCAGGGGCUGGGGCCACGGGAUGUGCUCUCGGGACCAGGAGGAGCGACAGGCUGUCAGGUCGGGAGGGAGGAAGCAGAGAGGGGGCUGGACCACCCGUCAGGAGCCACACACGCACCCCUCAGAGGCCCCAGCGGAGAGGCCCACGCCCCAGAUAACCGGGCCUGUGCCUGUUUCCCUCCACGAACAGCCCAGGGCUUGACAACAGGCAAAAUCGGUUUUGUUUGAAGACGAGAUCUAAACGUGCGUAAGCGGGUGCACACGGAGACGUUCCAUGUACUUGCUGCAAUGAGUCCUGGGACCCUCAGCUGGCAAGUGGGGCCAAGAAGGGACGCCUCCUCUCCGUUCUCUGCUCUGUCUCCAGUCGGUCCUGCGUCGGGGGACGAGGCUGCAGCCGUAUCACCUGCGUGCACCUCCGCGAGGCUGGACAGACUGCACGAGCCUGGAGCAGCCGACGACGGACGCCACUCACCGCGACGGUGGCCUCGUCCGUGCUCCCCGCGCGCGAGGGGAUGACCUCUCGAAGCUCACACGCCAUUCCUGCCUUUCCACCCGGGGUGCAGAGUUUCCAGGCUCACUCUUCCCCGGUCAGCUCGCAAGAGGGCCUCCCUUCACAAGGGGGAGGUUGGAGCUCAGAGCGAGCCGCCUGCUGACCCCACCGACCAGCACUGACCCCACUUAGCAGCCUCCCUUCGGAUUCCCGGGCUCCUUACACGGUCUGUUGUACAAGCAAAUGAUUCUGACUCCUUCACGAACUCAUUUACUUGACGGCUUGGCUGCCCAGCAACGUGCAAAACGCCCAUGGAUGCUGCAGGGGAGCGGCCACACGUUGGGGGCCCAGGUCACACCCUCCAGGAGCCUCCCUUCCCAUGCACGACACAGGUGACCAAAUACCCACAGCGUGAGGUAGGGCGUCAUCGCCGUAGUAAGAGGCCGGUGCGUCGCCGGGUCCUGGGUGUGGAGCGGUCUGUCCGUGCGUUCAGGGACUCUGGGAAGGGCUGACCUCGUUCCGUGGCUGGGCUUCCGUGGGCACAAGGUCAGGGAAGGUCAUUGCAAGGGAAUGUGCCUGUGCCACAAGGGUCACGUAUUCUUUGUGCCAUGACCUGUGCAUACGUUUGUAAAUGCUUAUUUCAAGAAGAAACAUGCAGUGAAAGAU